Non-coding RNA from Myotis lucifugus (little brown bat), 75 nucleotides. NCBI's taxonomy places the organism in Eukaryota, Metazoa, Chordata, Mammalia, Chiroptera, Vespertilionidae. The record is from Rfam.
GGCAGUUCUCGGGUGACAUACCCAGAAUCGGGCUCCCUCUUCUCUGGUUCCCGGGUGUGUCACCUGAGAACCACC